Molecule: ribosomal RNA, 425 nt
Filed under: uncultured bacterium
Lineage: Bacteria
Description: bacterial SSU rRNA
Rfam family: Bacterial small subunit ribosomal RNA
Source: RNAcentral
GGGGAAUAUUGGGCAAUGGGCGAAAGCCUGACCCAGCCACGCCGCGUGAGUGAUGAAGGCCUUCGGGUCGUAAAGCUCUGUGGGGAGGGAAGAAACCUUCCAGGGAACAAUACCCCUGGGACUUGACGGUACCUCCUUAGCAAGCACCGGCUAACUCCGUGCCAGCAGCCGCGGUAAUACGGAGGGUGCAAGCGUUAAUCGGAAUUACUGGGCGUAAAGCGAGUGUAGGUGGCUAUGUAAGUCGGAUGUGAAAUCCCCGGGCUCAACCUGGGAACUGCAUUCGAUACUGCAUGGCUAGAGUCUGAUAGAGGGAAGUGGAGUUCCAGGUGUAGCGGUGAAAUGCGUAGAUAUCUGGAAGAACACCAGUGGCGAAGGCGGCUUCCUGGAUCAAGACUGACACUGAGGCUCGAAAGCGUGGGGAGCGA